CAAAAGCUAGACGGGCGGUGUGGCAGACGCCUUUUCUUGAAAGAUCUCUUCAAAAUAACGCUUAUCAGACUGAACUGGUCGGUCCACUACGCAUUAUGAUGAGGAUUUUAGAUCUUAAAAAGGUGUCUCUCGUCUUGUUGGUGGUUGCGACAGCAAUGGUGGUUGUGUGGUAUAGACAGCUCUCAACGUCUAUGUCGUCUAUAUGGAGAGUUAAAAACUCAGGUAACACGACUGUGGGCACAUCGCGUCCUGUCUACGUCACGCCGGUUCCCAUCUUCACAGUACAGAAACAAAACUGGACGAAAUACCUCAU
Molecule: long non-coding RNA, 313 nt
Organism: Branchiostoma belcheri (Belcher's lancelet)
Lineage: Eukaryota; Metazoa; Chordata; Leptocardii; Amphioxiformes; Branchiostomatidae
Exons: 3
Source: RefSeq, a predicted model, not a curated record